GCCCCGGUCGUCCAACCUGGAUAGGACGCGAGCCUCCGAAGUUCGCGAUCUGGGUUCAAAUCCCAGCUAGGGCG
This 74-nucleotide transfer RNA is filed under the name Microcaldota archaeon. RNAcentral describes it as "tRNA-Arg". It matches the Rfam family "tRNA". From Rfam's summary of the family: Transfer RNA (tRNA) molecules are approximately 80 nucleotides in length. Their secondary structure includes four short double-helical elements and three loops (D, anti-codon, and T loops). Lineage: Archaea; Nanobdellati; Microcaldota. The record is from RNAcentral.